RNAcentral lists this ribosomal RNA (602 nucleotides) under Salmonella enterica. RNAcentral describes it as "bacterial SSU rRNA". It matches the Rfam family "Bacterial small subunit ribosomal RNA", at positions 1 to 592 of the family's 1533-position model. Lineage: Bacteria; Pseudomonadati; Pseudomonadota; Gammaproteobacteria; Enterobacterales; Enterobacteriaceae. RNAcentral also lists the same sequence under 3 other names. The record is from RNAcentral.
AAAUUGAAGAGUUUGAUCAUGGCUCAGAUUGAACGCUGGCGGCAGGCCUAACACAUGCAAGUCGAACGGUAACAGGAAGCAGCUUGCUGCUUUGCUGACGAGUGGCGGACGGGUGAGUAAUGUCUGGGAAACUGCCUGAUGGAGGGGGAUAACUACUGGAAACGGUGGCUAAUACCGCAUAACGUCGCAAGACCAAAGAGGGGGACCUUCGGGCCUCUUGCCAUCAGAUGUGCCCAGAUGGGAUUAGCUUGUUGGUGAGGUAACGGCUCACCAAGGCGACGAUCCCUAGCUGGUCUGAGAGGAUGACCAGCCACACUGGAACUGAGACACGGUCCAGACUCCUACGGGAGGCAGCAGUGGGGAAUAUUGCACAAUGGGCGCAAGCCUGAUGCAGCCAUGCCGCGUGUAUGAAGAAGGCCUUCGGGUUGUAAAGUACUUUCAGCGGGGAGGAAGGUGUUGUGGUUAAUAACCGCAGCAAUUGACGUUACCCGCAGAAGAAGCACCGGCUAACUCCGUGCCAGCAGCCGCGGUAAUACGGAGGGUGCAAGCGUUAAUCGGAAUUACUGGGCGUAAAGCGCACGCAGGCGGUCUGUCAAGUCGGA